UACGUAGGGUGCGAGCGUUAAUCGGAAUUACUGGGCGUAAAGCGUGCGCAGGCGGUUUUGUAAGCCAGGUGUGAAAUCCCCGGGCUCAACCUGGGAAUGGCAUUUGGGACUGCAAGGCUGGAGUGUGGCAGAGGAGACUGGAAUUCACGGUGUAGCAGUGAAAUGCGUAGAGAUCGUGAGGAAGACCAGUGGCGAAGGCGGGUCUCUGGACAGUUCCUGACACUGAGGCACGAAGGCCAGGGGAGCAAACGGG
RNAcentral lists this ribosomal RNA (253 nucleotides) under uncultured bacterium. RNAcentral's name for it is "partial 16S ribosomal RNA". It matches the Rfam family "Bacterial small subunit ribosomal RNA", at positions 524 to 776 of the family's 1533-position model. The record is from RNAcentral.